This 387-nucleotide ribosomal RNA is filed under the name uncultured bacterium. RNAcentral's name for it is "bacterial SSU rRNA". It matches the Rfam family "Bacterial small subunit ribosomal RNA", at positions 28 to 412 of the family's 1533-position model. The record is from RNAcentral.
GACGAACGCUGGCGGCGUGCUUAACACAUGCAAGUCGAGCGGUAAGGCCCUUUCGGGGGUACACGAGCGGCGAACGGGUGAGUAACACGUGGGUGACCUGCCCUCAGCUCUGGGAUAAGCCUGGGAAACCGGGUCUAAUACUGGAUAUGACUCCAUGACGCAUGUUGUGGGGUGGAAAGCCUUGUGCGGCUGAGGAUGGGCCCGCGGCCUAUCAGCUUGUUGGUGGGGGUGANGGCCUACCAAGGCGACGACGGGUAGCCGGCCUGAGAGGGCGACCGGCCACACUGGGACUGAGACACGGCCCAGACUCCGUACGGGAGGCAGCAGGUGGGGAAUCUUGCGCAAUGGGACGAAAGCCUGACGCAGCGACGCCGCGUGGAGGAUGAC